RNAcentral lists this long non-coding RNA (3310 nucleotides) under Homo sapiens (human). RNAcentral describes it as "HSALNT0359363". The record is from RNAcentral. Lineage: Eukaryota; Metazoa; Chordata; Mammalia; Primates; Hominidae.
GAAAUAGGAAAGUAUUUAAUGGUUUCAACAUAAAAUCAAAACACAUAAGUCAUAAAUAGAAUAAUUAUGACUUGCAUAAUUAUGACCAGUAUUGUCAGGUUUUAUGUGUCUGCUGGUAAAACUUUGGAAUAUGAUUUGCAGAAAUCUCAGUUCAGGAGUUUAGCAAAGUUUAUGAAUGUGUACAGCAUUAAAAAGUAUUUAAACCAGGCUAGCCUCGAACUCCUGAACUCAGGUGAUCUGCCUGCCUCGGCCUCACAAAGUGCUGUGAUUACAGGGUGUGAGCCACUGCACCUGGCCGAUAACAGAUGUUUUAAUAGUAAGAUAAAAAGUAAAAUUUCCAGUGUGUCGAAGGAAGAAAAUUACAGCCUAGAAUUUUAUCUUCAUGUACAUUAUUUAAGUGUGAGGGAAUAGUUUCAGUGACAUUAUGUCAUUGAAGACCUUAGAAGAUUUCCCUCGCUAAAGGAGAUAAAGCGACUGGCACAACAUGUAUUUCUCUGAGUAAUUAGAAGUGUUCUUUUCUGGCUGUACUGAAGGGACUUUCAUGAUUUCUUCGUUUUUGUACUCUUAGUUUUAUAAUAUUGCAUAGUAGCUAAGGCCUGGCUGUAGCAGUUAUAAACUGUUCUGCAAGUGCGGGAAGUAAUAGUUAUUCCUAUCUCAAGGAUGUGGGGUUUAAAUGGGUUAGUGCACAAAAGGACAUUUAUUAAAUUUAGUCAUAAUCAUCUCAAGGACAUGGUAAGUGAAAGAGUGUACAUAAAGUACUUAAUGUAAUGUUUGCUACUUAAUGUUCAAUAACUCAAAGAGACCACCACCACUACUACAUUUUACUUUUAUUAGUAAUUAAUAAUAAUUAAUAAUUAGUAAUUCAGUGGUAAUUAGUAUACUACCAAAGAAAGUACUUGAGCAGAAGAGCCAAAAUUCAAACCAUAGAAUCAUUUUACUGUGCUUUUAUUCUACCUCAAACACUAAUCUCCAGGCCUUGGAUAAAGGGAUUAUUUCUCUGAAGGGGAAAGUUAUCCUCUUUUUGCCCAAGUCACACUUGUGUCAUUUCUUAUACUGUAAACAUGUGGUUCCAAUUCUGAGGUAUUUUCCCGGUUUGUAGGACCCAAAAAGAAGUUAGGCUUGAGAAAUUUUAAGUGAAGAGAACAAUUCUAGUUCAGAGUGAUUGGCUCUUCCUAAAAGCUGACAUUUGACUGAAAAUUUUGAGGGGAGGGAAAGAAACAAUACCUUUUACGGCAUGUAAUAGGAAGAAGACCUGGAUUUUAGUUGCUGCUCUGAUGUCCCAACUUGGGUAAGGCAACAUAACAUAAAUGUCAGUUUCUUCAGAUUUGUGAUGAAGCUGAUAAUCCAUGCUCAGCUUCCUUUAUGGGUCUCUUGCCUAUCAAAUAAGGUACAGUAUGUGAAGAUACAUUGCAGAUUAUCUUAUGCAUUGCUUCAGGGGAUGAUUAAACCAUCCUUUAUUAUAGCCAGAGUCUAGUCUAAGGGAAGAAGGUCAUUCUCUAUACCAGUGAAGGCUCCAUCCAAACCAGUGUUUGGGGGCAUAGUCAUAAUUGAAAAAUGAUUGUUUUCCUUAUCUGUAAGACAGGUAAAUGGUAUUAAUCCUCAGGUGGUUGUGAGGAUUAAGUGAUACAUGUAAAAAAAAGAAAGCUUUGGAUAGUACCUAUUAUAAGAAACUCAGUGUUGCUGCAAUGUAUGUAUUAUAAUGGAUUUGAAAUUUGCCCUAACCAAGAGUCACAGACAGAAAAAAGGAAGUUAAUGUAUCUCUUGAUCACUAUCAAGAUGUGGUAUUGAACCUUCAAGAUCCUUUUCAGGGAAUAUGUGAGAUCAAAAUUUUUAUACUGGCACUAUGAUGUUAUUUGCCUUUUCCUCAUAUUCACAAGUGAACAGUGGAGUUUUACAGAAGCUAUAUAAUGUCAUGACAUCACUGAUGGGUAAUAGAAUGUGUGCUUGUAUAUUCCGAAACUUUCAGUUCCAAUUUCUUCGAUCAAUGUAAUCCUCAUAAGUAAAAGUUAUUUGAGGACCUCAGACAUUUUUAAAAAUGUAAAGGGGGUGGGGUCAGGCUCAGUGGCUCAUGCCUGUAAUCCCAGCAUUUUGGAAGGCCGAGGCGAACGGAUCACUUGAGGCCAGGAGUUUGAAACUAGUCUGGUCAACAUGGUGAAACCCCGUCUCCACUAAAACAAAAAGUUUUCUGGAUGUGGUGGCACACAUACCUGUAAUCCCAGCUACUUUGGUGGCUGAGGCAUGAGAAUCACUUGAACCCAGAAGACAGGUUGCAGUGAGCCAAGAUUGUGCCCCUGCAUUCUAGCCUGGGUGACAGUGAGACUGUCUCAAAAAAUAAAGGUGUACAGGGAUUGUAUAUUUGACAACUUGGUAUGUAGGAUGUGCUACCUCUAAUGUUCCAUGCUGUUACUUAGUUUUCACUCACUACUAUAUUUUGGAGAUUUGUUCAUAUUGCUCUGUGUACAUUUAAUUCUUCAGUGUGUAUCCACCACAUUUAACUUAUUCACUUACAGAACUAUGCAAGAAUUUCUCUGGUAAAUUUCACUAAGUACUUAUGUACUUUUCAGAACGAUUGUGAGUUUACACCCCUACCAGCAGGACUGAGUUGAGUACCCAUUUCCUCACAUCCUUGCCAGUACUUCAUUUGCCUAAUUUUUGCCAUUCUCAUAAUGUGGCAAUUGUUCAAUUUUGCAUUUCUUCCAUUUUAUUUUUUUGCAUCUCUGCUUUUCUUUUGGUUAGCUUUGCCAGUUCUGCCUAUUAUAUUAAUCUCCCAGAAUCAGCUUUUAGUUUUGUUAAAUCUCUGACAUGUUUCGUUGAUUCCUGCUUUCAUCUUAAACAUUUCUUCGUUGUUAAUUUGUGUUUGCUAUAAAAUAAGCAACAUCUUAAAUGCUUGAUUUGCUUUCGAUGUUUAUUCUGUAAUAAGAUAUUUAAAGAUAUAAUUUUUUCCCUAAAUGCUUUAUUAGACUUUUCUCAUAAGUUUUGACUGGUACUGUUUUCAUUGUUAUUUAAUUUUGUGUUUUUUAACUUCUUUCAUGAUUUCCUUUUAACUGAAGGUUUUCUUAGAUAUUUAGUUUGCUGGUAUAUUCUUUUAAAAUUGUAUCAUUGCUUUCUUUCUAUAUUGGAUUAUUGUCAGAGAACAUGAUUUGCAUGAUAUUAACUUUUUGGAGUAUAUUGUUGCAUCUUUGUGGCCUAGUACAUAGUUAAUUUAGUGAAUGCUUCCAGUUGUACUUGAAAAGAAUGUAUAUUUUCUGAUUAUUGAGGGUAAAUUUCUCUAUAUAUGUUUUCCUGUUUAAUAAAUAUGUAGCUAUGUGCU